Molecule: unclassified non-coding RNA, 240 nt
Filed under: uncultured fungus
Lineage: Eukaryota; Fungi
Description: partial contains 5.8S ribosomal RNA, internal transcribed spacer 2, and large subunit ribosomal RNA
Rfam family: 5.8S ribosomal RNA (bases 1-52)
Source: RNAcentral
AACGCACAUUGCGCCCGCCAGUAUCCUGGCGGGCAUGCCUGUUCGAGCGUCAUUUCAACCCUCAGGCCCGGCCUGGUGUUGGGGCGCUGCGCCUCGCAGCCCCCGAAAGACAGCGGCGGUCCCGUCCCGGCACCGAGCGUAGUAGCACAUCUCGCUACGGGCGUCCGGACGGCGGCCGGCCGGAAAAUCUUUUUUUCUUUGGUUGACCUCGGAUCAGGUAGGAAUACCCGCUGAACUUAA